GACCCACAGGAAUUCUCCCCCUUUGGGUCCCGGGGGAAGCGGCCGGGACCCCUGUGGGAGACGGAUGAGACCCCGCGGAGGAAGAGGGAAGUUGGGACGCAGACACCCAGGAAGAAUGCUGUCUGAAUACUGGGGCAGAGAUUGGAGUUAUACUGCCUCAAGCCAAAGAAUGCCAAGAAGUGCUGGCCACCUGCAGAAGCCAGGAAAAAGUGUUCGUUGACCACACCGAUGGAGCUUGGAAGGAACUGGGAGUUUUCUGAAGAAAGUGGCUUUAUCGGGCACUCAUGGACGACGCUGCUGGACCAGGUUCAGUGACAGCACACAGACACGGACCUGCAGAGAUGCUCUGAAAGUGAAGGCUUACUUCCAUUUGGCUGUGGCGUCAAUUCGGUGGACAAGUAAUAUCUGCCUCCAAAUCACUUUUCAAACUGUCCAGGUGUUUAAUCCGAAAGCACAAAACAGUUUCUAGUCGCUUGGGGUCACGGAGUGGCUAGGCAGGAUCCUUGCCCUUAAGAAACUUCGCAUCUAAUAGAUGAAGCCUGAACGAGAGCCUUAUUGCAAUCGGACUUUUCUGGAAUGUUCACUGACUCAAUCAGAGACAGGGCUGGGGUUUGCAGAACGAUCGCAAAGGCAAGCGAAAAGAAACCGCGCUAAUUGUCAAUCCCCUAAUGGCAUUAAUUGAGCAUCUGUUUGAGAUAGACCUUUUUUGCGUGCUUCCUCCUAAAAGAAAUUGUUAAGGCUGCAUAUUUCCUCCUGUUUUUGGUGCGAGUGUGGGAAGAGCCAAAGAAUUUGCCACCGAGGGGGGCUACACAAACACAAUGCUGGUUAACGAAAACCUUCAGAUG
Ailuropoda melanoleuca (giant panda) is the source of this 845-nucleotide long non-coding RNA. RefSeq lists it as uncharacterized. The record is from RefSeq and is a predicted model, not a curated record. Lineage: Eukaryota; Metazoa; Chordata; Mammalia; Carnivora; Ursidae. The transcript is spliced from 4 exons.